UACGGGGGGGGCAAGCGUUGUUCGGAAUUACUGGGCGUAAAGGGUUCGUAGGUGGCCUACUAAGUCAUACGUGAAAUCCCUCAGCUUAACUGGGGAGGGUCGUGCGAUACGGGCGAACUCGAGGCCAGUAGGGGGACGCGGAAUUCCGGGUGUAGUGGUGGAAUGCGUAGAGAUCCGGAGGAACACCAGCGGCGAAGGCGGCGUCCUGGACUGGUACUGACGCUCAGGAGCGAAAGCGUGGGGAGCGAUCCGG
This 253-nucleotide ribosomal RNA is filed under the name uncultured bacterium. RNAcentral describes it as "partial 16S ribosomal RNA". It matches the Rfam family "Bacterial small subunit ribosomal RNA", at positions 524 to 776 of the family's 1533-position model. The record is from RNAcentral.